UCGGGAAUAUUGCGCAAUGGAGGAAACUCUGACGCAGUGACGCCGCGUAUAGGAAGAAGGUUUUCGGAUUGUAAACUAUUGUCGUUAGGGAAGAAAGAAAUGACAGUACCUAAGGAGGAAGCUCCGGCUAACUAUGUGCCAGCAGCCGCGGUAAUACAUAGGGAGCAAGCGUUAUCCGGAUUUAUUGGGUGUAAAGGGUGCGUAGACGGGAAUACAAGUUAGUUGUGAAAGCCCUCGGCUCAACCGAGGAACUGCAACUAAAACUAUAUUUCUUGAGUAUCGGAGAGGAAAGUGGAAUUCCUAGUGUAGCGGUGAAAUGCGUAGAUAUUAGGAGGAACACCAGUGGCGAAGGCGACUUUCUGGACGAAAACUGACGUUGAGGCACGAAAGUGUGGGGAGCAAACAGG
This 407-nucleotide ribosomal RNA is filed under the name uncultured bacterium. RNAcentral describes it as "bacterial SSU rRNA". It matches the Rfam family "Bacterial small subunit ribosomal RNA", at positions 355 to 776 of the family's 1533-position model. The record is from RNAcentral.